GGAUGAAUAUUGGGCAAUGGGCGAAAGCCUGACCCAGCAACGCCGCGUGAGGGAUGAAGGCCUUCGGGUUGUAAACCUCUUUUCUGGGAGAAGAGACAAGGACGGUAUCCCAGGAAUAAGUCUCGGCUAACUACGUGCCAGCAGCCGCGGUAAUACGUAGGAGGCAAGCGUUAUCCGGAUUCACUGGGCGUAAAGCGCACGCAGGCGGUUAUGUAAGUCGGACGUGAAAGCUCCUGGCUCAACUGGGAGA
Molecule: ribosomal RNA, 250 nt
Filed under: uncultured bacterium
Lineage: Bacteria
Description: partial 16S ribosomal RNA
Rfam family: Bacterial small subunit ribosomal RNA
Source: RNAcentral